This 1240-nucleotide long non-coding RNA is filed under the name Sus scrofa (pig). RNAcentral describes it as "lncRNA (ENSSSCG00035006553.1)". The record is from RNAcentral. Lineage: Eukaryota; Metazoa; Chordata; Mammalia; Artiodactyla; Suidae.
CUGGAAAAGAAAAUAUAAAAAUAUAAACUUGUCUUCCAUCUCGUCGCAGGAGAUGAGUCAGCAGAACAGGAAAUUCUCCUUGCACAAGCCCUUCUGAUCCCGUGGGCUGGGUGUGUGCGGUAUCGAGCGAGGGCUGGGAAGGGGAACCGGCUUCUCUACUGCAACCACUUUGAAAGGUGAACAAUGCGAGCUGGCCGGAGUUGGAGUGACAUCCUGGAGGUCACAGAUAUUUCAGAUUUGGCCACAGAGUCAGUUUCUCUGGAAGGACUUGAAGCUUAUCUCCAGGACAUCCAAGAUCUUCCUCCUUUGAGGUCCGAAGCUGUGAAGCACUUCUCCAAGCAUGACCUAGAGGAGGCAACUCCCUUAGGUAACCAGUAGGACCUGUAUUUAGCUUGGUGUCAUUUAUGGAGUGCCAGCCAAUGGGAGUGGCAUAAAAUGGCAUGUUUGUCACGACUGUGCUUUCAGACUUUCUGCAGAGGCCAGCCCCAUGGCAAAGAAAAGUGGAGAUGACUCUGUCACGUCAAACCAGAGCUUGUUGUCUUCAAGGUUUGGAGUAAUCCAUCCACCUUUCUUCAAAAAAUGUCUCCCAUGAGCACUUAGGGGGAAGGUCAUGUCCUCAGCAGCAACUGUCGAGUAGAAACUCUUGGUCAAUAAUUAGAAAGAGAGCACAUUUUAUUGCCUCAUAUGGUAUUCCCUCCACUAUGAUAGUGUCAUCCUAGUUUUAUUAUUGUCACCCUAAAUCCCCAGCCCAGAAACAAUAGGGAUGAAGGGCAUUACUUCCUCUGCAGCAGUGAAAGCUUUUCGAAAUAGUUAUUACUAGUUGUCCAAUCAGUCAUCUUCUUUCCAUGACAGUUAAACACGGACCCUGGAAUCAGACUGUUUGAACUUCAGUUCCACUUAUUAGCAGAGAGACUGUGUCCAGUUACAUCUACUCUCUGUACUGUGUUUUCCUACCUGCAAAAUGAGGGUGAUGGUCCCUACCUCCUAGGGCUGUUGUGAAGCACCAAUGUGUUACUAUAUGUUAAGGGCUUAGAUCAGUGUCUGGCACUGCUGGUAAGUGCAAGGUAAAUAUUUGCUGCUUCUGUUGCUGUUGUUAUUCCAUUCACUUAGCACCAAGAGCAAAAGCCGUCCAUGGUGAUGCUUCACGUGACACGCCUGUAGGACAGAACAGGCAUUAGCCCCAUUUCAUCAGGGUAGAGGACCUAAUAAAAAUGCUUUAUUGUGAGUGAUACUUUUUUUA